GGCUAAUUGGUCAAGUGGUCAAGACGUCGCCCUCUCACGGCGAAGACAGGGGUUCGACUCCCCUAUUAGCUA
Eubacterium sp. CAG:38 is the source of this 72-nucleotide transfer RNA. It matches the Rfam family "tRNA". Rfam says of the family: Transfer RNA (tRNA) molecules are approximately 80 nucleotides in length. Their secondary structure includes four short double-helical elements and three loops (D, anti-codon, and T loops). The record is from Rfam. Lineage: Bacteria; Bacillati; Bacillota; Clostridia; Eubacteriales; Eubacteriaceae.